This 254-nucleotide ribosomal RNA is filed under the name uncultured bacterium. RNAcentral describes it as "partial 16S ribosomal RNA". It matches the Rfam family "Bacterial small subunit ribosomal RNA", at positions 524 to 776 of the family's 1533-position model. The record is from RNAcentral.
GACGUAGGGCGCGAGCGUUAUCCGGAAUUAUUGGGCGUAAAGAGCUCGUAGGCGGUUUGUCGCGUCUGCCGUGAAAGUCCGGGGCUCAACUCCGGAUCUGCGGUGGGUACGGGCAGACUAGAGUGAUGUAGGGGAGACUGGAAUUCCUGGUGUAGCGGUGAAAUGCGUAGAUAUCAAGAGGAACACCUGAGGUGAAGACGGGUUGCUGGGCCGACACUGACGCUGAGUGCGCGAAAGCCAGGGGAGCAAACGGG